CGGAAUUUUAACAGAGCUCCGGGCUCGCGUUUAUUCAGUCCGCGCACUUUCAAAGCUAAAAAAAAACAAAAACAAACAACCUCACAACAGGAAACAGGACUCACUGAAAGCACGAAAGCACGGGAAGAUCGACCAGUGAUUGUCUUGCGACGUAAUGAGCACCCCUGCCUUACUGUUAUGAGUUACUGUACUGUUACAACACUUCCAACAUUGCCAGAGGAACCACUGAGCACUCCCAGUGUCUCAGGGCGCUAUCGGGUUGUUCCUUGCGAGGUGUAUCAGCUCCUUCUCCGCCACCUACUGGGUUGGAGUAUGGAGCGUCGACGUGAAGGCAAAAAAGAGAGAAAAAAACAGCAACAACUAUCGUCUAAAUCCCACUGUACACGUUACUGUCUCAUGGUGUGGAGGGCUGUGAGGUGGUAGAUGGCAUGGCUAAGCAGGCUGGUGUUGUUAAUUUUUUAUUUGUAUUAUUCAUUUUUAUUAUUGUAGCAAAGGUAUAAAGGGUGCAAAUGCGCAAACAUUUUUCACAAACAUUUUUCUCCUCUGAAGGGCUCUGACUGUAAUUAUGUCCUUAUUUAGAAUUAUAAAACAAUUUCAAUAAUACAAUUAUAAAGCAAUGACUCUCAGGAAACCAUAAAAAUGCUGCAUAGUGUAAGUAUUUAUUACAGACAGUUACAUGUGCAUAACACCAUUUCAUUUCAUUCCACAGAUUCAUUAACUGGAUACAAACAUGAACACGGAACAGACAGUAAUACUGAACUCUUAAAAACACCAGGCGGUGCUGUCACACUGAGACUCAGAGGUGAGAAUAUGCUGUAAUGUGUAUUGUAUGAGUAUUUACAAAAUUUGGUCAGUAUAUUAGGUUGGUCUUUGGUGUUGAAAACCCAUCUAACGCUGAGAUUCAGGG
This is a long non-coding RNA of Ictalurus punctatus (channel catfish), 907 nucleotides long. RefSeq lists it as uncharacterized. NCBI's taxonomy places the organism in Eukaryota, Metazoa, Chordata, Actinopteri, Siluriformes, Ictaluridae. The transcript has 3 exons. The record is from RefSeq and is a predicted model, not a curated record.